RNAcentral lists this ribosomal RNA (253 nucleotides) under uncultured bacterium. RNAcentral's name for it is "partial 16S ribosomal RNA". It matches the Rfam family "Bacterial small subunit ribosomal RNA", at positions 524 to 776 of the family's 1533-position model. The record is from RNAcentral.
UACGUAGGGGGCAAGCGUUAUCCGGAUUUACUGGGUGUAAAGGGAGCGUGGACGGCAGCGCAAGUCUGGAGUGAAAUGCCGGGGCUCAACCCCGGAACUGCUUUGGAAACUGUGCAGCUAGAGUGCGGGAGAGGUAAGCGGAAUUCCUAGUGUAGCGGUGAAAUGCGUAGAUAUUAGGAGGAACACCAGUGGCGAAGGCGGCUUACUGGACCGUAACUGACGUUGAGGCUCGAAAGCGUGGGGAGCAAACAGG